UUUAUUUUAUUUCUUCUUUUAUUAUAGUUUCUUAGCUUUCAGUUAUUUCAAUUCGCAUGGAGAAGAAAAUAAAUUCACGUGAGAUUUUUUAAAACCGGACACGAAUUUUUACAACUAAAAUAUUGCAAACAUAUGCAAAUGUGCGUGAUGACACUCUCAACUGGGUUGCAUCAGAUUCUAGUUUGCCUUAACUGCAACUUAUUCCACGAUGUAUAAAUUAUCUCUUAAUAUCGAAAAAUAUUGUUUGGUUUUCCUUUGUACAAAAACAAAAUCCAAUUGCAGUGUCAAGGAACAUUAAUUUUAAGUCUACUGAAUUUAUUCCAAUUAAUUAAAUUUUGAAAUUUUGAAUUUCAAAAAUUCGAAAUUCAUAAUGAAAAUUAAUUCACAAGAAGACAAUUUUUUAUAAUACAAAAUACGAGAAGAAUGGCAAAUUUUUGGUUUUCAAUCGUGGAGAAAAAUGAGAGUAAACAAUUUAUAGAAAAAUGUAUAGAAUACAGAUUUCCACGUCGAGAAAAGAAGAAAUUUUAUACAAUAGACGUCUUUCUGAUUAAAAAUAUUUUAUUCAAGAAAAUUUUCAAAGAUAAUAGAAAAUUUGAAUUAUAAAAAAAAAAUAACGUAGAAAGCAUAAAAUCCCCACUUUUAUUCUAAUAAAUGAUGAGAAUGGAAGGGAUCAGGUGAAGGGGGCUUUGUAAAAACCUCGGAAUCACCGGAAGAUUCUUAGUCUCUACCCGAGAGGCUGACAGUGUGAAUUCAUUCAAAAUUGCGGAAUUGAUUUGAUGAGAAGUUUUUGCAAAAUUAAAUUCAAUUGGAAAUUUAUCAGUGACUCUUGACACGGAAAGUGAUUAAUUAAUGCGAAUUUAAUUUUUUACGUAUAUUGAGAUAAUAACUAUUCAAAAAUUUCGCAUUCUUAUGUGUCCAUGAG
Molecule: long non-coding RNA, 922 nt
Organism: Leptopilina heterotoma
Lineage: Eukaryota; Metazoa; Arthropoda; Insecta; Hymenoptera; Figitidae
Exons: 3
Source: RefSeq, a predicted model, not a curated record